UUGAGUAGGUGAGAAGUAUCAGGCUUUCAUCCGAUUUCUUGUGGAUUGGAUGAUGGAUAAACCAGCAAGUAGGGUCUUGCCUAGGUUGAACAUGCAACUAAAGGGCUGCGCUAUGUAAACACAAGGUUUGCUCCAGCCUAUGAAAGGAUGGUCCCAGACCUGUCUGACCUACCGUUAGCUUUGCUAAAGCAGUACUCCCAGGGUAAGGACAGGUGGCAUAGCGCAGCCCUCACCGAUGUGAGUGACUGGGCACCACAUCUCGACCAGCUCGUCCCAACGGAGCGAAGGCCUCCUCAGCGCGAAAUCCUGACAUGAAUACAAAGAAUUUGGUGGGUAUUUCAGAGGAGCCCAAAGGCGCUUUCUAUGAAAUCCUAUGGUCAUGUCUUUAUCCUAAGGGCUAUAGAAAGAACUAUCUCUGGCAAGCAUUAAGCCGUCGAACUACCGACUCUAUAAGCUUCUACGUGCUAUAUUCUCUUCGCCUAACACAUUCAACUACCUUUUCUUGAAAGGAGUCCGACUGCUGCUUUAAUACAGUCUGUUUAGGGUCUCUUUUUAUGCGGCUCCCCUUCCUGGGAGGUAAUUACCGUUAGCGUACAGCACCCCUCGUAAGCAACUCGGCAACCCCGUAGGCCUCCGGCGCGCACAACAACCAAACCACUUUACUUCUUCAAUCUAUUCGUUUGGAUACGCGGUAAGUAAGGCGAAAGAAGCGCGAUUGCGCAGCUCAAUAGGGCUCCUGUGAGUCCGAAAACUAGCUGCCUAUGAGCUAUCGAGACACUGGGAAUGUGUAUCGCUAUUAGUGCCCCAUCAGGUGAAAACUUUGACCUUCCCUCUUCGGCCUAAAAGACAGACAACCAAAGCCCGAGUAAGGGUACUCGGAGGAGGGAAGCCGGCCAUCCGCCUCCUUCCUUUAGAUUACUAGGUCUGUGAACUGAGUCAUCAGAUGCAAAAGGCGCAUAGCCGACAUCAACGUGAAGUGCAGCCCUUAUCUUUUCAGGUCUAGUGCUAGACCCUGACCGGUUAAACCGCGACGAUCAAAUGCUUUCAUAUGGUUGGCUGGCUUCGAUAGAAACGAAAGGGUGUUAAUCCGCAUGGAAUCGGAUAGGCCGAGGGUUAGAAAGCCGCCUUAACGCCUUAUCCAAGAAGUUGCCCUUCUGAGGCUAACCCGUCGUACCCCUGCGCGAUGGCGUCGUAAGAGGCGUGGGCUGCUUCACCAACAUGAAAGAGAGGGCCGGCUGGGAAAGAGAGAGAACCGGGCCGACCGCAAGACAAGAUAGUUUGUGGAUGGAAAUUCAAGGAGGUGGCUUACUUAUGAGCAAAAAGGGAAGUCCCCUUGCCUAUCAACAAGAGAAGAGUGUCUGUCCACAGGGUUUUUACGGAAUCCUGUUUCGAUAUGAGACUCAUCCCCUUUCGGUCUCGGGUUGAUGAGGUCUUCAUCCCGGUUCCCAAUUUGAUUCUCUAUAUUUCUCUCUGUGAGAUAAACUGCUUUGCUUCCAUUCAAUCCGUGCGUUCUCCGGGUUCAAUGAGUAAGACAUAGUUGUUUGUGAUAGUGAUCUCUAGAAGUUGGCUAAUCUCUUUCAGAAAUAUUCUUUGGGAUCACUAAACUGUUUGUAUAGGAUGAACAGCUGGGCAGUGGGCUACAAUGGAGGAGUGAUGAGGGUCGUUUGCGUACUGUAUGUCUUCCCCCGGGUGUUAGGAUCCCCUAUGGAACGAUGGAGUUGAAUCAAGGCACCUGCUUGCUUGGCCGAAGCUCCAUGUCAUGACUGAAUCAAGCAAGGGAGUCUCCGUCCUUUACGGUCCAUUACGUCUUUCUCUUCCUGAUCCCCCUCCUCCCUCUCCCUUCUCGUUGCCUACCAAGAAAAAAAGGACUUUGAAGGUUCUGUGCCGAUCGUGUUCUCUCGUCUUUCAAAUGGUGAAUCACCGAAGCCAAAUCCAUCUUGCGCAGACGGGAGACGAUGAUCGAAGUCAGACUUGAGUAUGGGACGAGAACUCGCUGAUUUGGAUUCGAAUCAAAUGAGACUGAAAGCACCAUUUCUUUUGACAUUGGACUUGCUCGUCAGCCUCCUCUUUAUGGAACGCAAGGUGGCAGCUCGCUCUCUUCUUAUUUUUCUUGAUUAGCUAUCCAAAGCUCUCACAAAAAACCCUUUUUUCUUUCGAUUCAGUGGCUGAAGGAUGAGUUCUUCCUUGAGUUGUCUUUGACCGACUGACUGGGAAGCUCAGCUUGGGAGACAGAUGCAAAAGGAGGUGAUCUUGUUGCUGACCGAGUCUUGACCUCACUCCUGGCUCUCGAAAUGCUCAAUCAGGCUUUCCACUGAUUCCUACCAACCAAGGCUGCAAGUGCGUGCUGUUGGCGAUCCAGAAUGGUCUACCUCCAUUUGGGAAACUCAAUGCUCCCAUUGGCCAUGAGGCUUUUUUAGUCAUUUUAGACU
RNAcentral lists this long non-coding RNA (2429 nucleotides) under Elaeis guineensis (African oil palm). RNAcentral's name for it is "long non-coding RNA (EGUI_LNC065657)". Lineage: Eukaryota; Viridiplantae; Streptophyta; Magnoliopsida; Arecales; Arecaceae. The record is from RNAcentral.